AGAUCUGUAAGCUCAAAAUUGGGAAGAGCGCUCGGGUCAUCCAUCACCUGAGAGGUUGGUGGUUCGAAUCCACCCAGAUCUG
Molecule: transfer RNA, 82 nt
Filed under: Helianthus annuus (common sunflower)
Lineage: Eukaryota; Viridiplantae; Streptophyta; Magnoliopsida; Asterales; Asteraceae
Description: tRNA HanXRQr2_Chr11g0471061
Rfam family: tRNA
About the family: Transfer RNA (tRNA) molecules are approximately 80 nucleotides in length. Their secondary structure includes four short double-helical elements and three loops (D, anti-codon, and T loops). Further hydrogen bonds mediate the characteristic L-shaped molecular structure. tRNAs have two regions of fundamental functional importance: the anti-codon, which is responsible for specific mRNA codon recognition, and the 3' end, to which the tRNAs corresponding amino acid is attached (by aminoacyl-tRNA synthetases). tRNAs cope with the degeneracy of the genetic code in two manners: having more than one tRNA (with a specific anti-codon) for a particular amino acid; and 'wobble' base-pairing, i.e. permitting non-standard base-pairing at the 3rd anti-codon position.
Source: RNAcentral